Molecule: small nuclear RNA, 165 nt
Organism: Crocodylus porosus (Australian saltwater crocodile)
Lineage: Eukaryota; Metazoa; Chordata; Crocodylia; Crocodylidae
Gene: U1
Rfam family: U1 spliceosomal RNA
About the family: U1 is a small nuclear RNA (snRNA) component of the spliceosome (involved in pre-mRNA splicing). Its 5' end forms complementary base pairs with the 5' splice junction, thus defining the 5' donor site of an intron.
Source: Ensembl
AAACUGAUUUGGCCUUUGAAAUAAAAUUGAAAAAAAAAAAGGUUCUCUCAGGGUGAGGCUCAUCCCUUGUAUUCUAGGUGUGCUGACCACUGCUAUUUUCCCAAAUGCAAAAAAUUCAACUGCAUAAUUUGUGGUAGUGGGGGACUGCGUUCAUGCCUUCCUCUG